Molecule: ribosomal RNA, 303 nt
Filed under: uncultured bacterium
Lineage: Bacteria
Description: partial 16S ribosomal RNA
Rfam family: Bacterial small subunit ribosomal RNA
Source: RNAcentral
AGCAGUAGCCGCGGGAAUACGUAUGUCACAAGCGUUAUCCGGAUUUAUUGGGCGUAAAGCGCGUCUAGGUGGUUAUGUAAGUCUGAUGUGAAAAUGCAGGGCUCAACUCUGUAUUGCGUUGGAAACUGUGUAACUAGAGUACUGGAGAGGUAAGCGGAACUACAAGUGUAGAGGUGAAAUUCGUAGAUAUUUGUAGGAAUGCCGAUGGGGAAGCCAGCUUACUGGACAGAUACUGACGCUAAAGCGCGAAAGCGUGGGUAGCAAACAGGAUUAGAUACCCCCGUAGUCCCUGUCUCUUAUACA